Long non-coding RNA from Zalophus californianus (California sea lion), 699 nucleotides. RefSeq lists it as uncharacterized. The record is from RefSeq and is a predicted model, not a curated record. The transcript has 4 exons. Lineage: Eukaryota; Metazoa; Chordata; Mammalia; Carnivora; Otariidae.
GCCAUCUCCGUCAGUAAUGUGGCCACUGGUGCCACUGUGGCUGAUACUUUAGGUUCAUAAGGUCCCAUGGGGAUUUCAGGAAGCAGUUUGUUAUUGUAAUUGGUGAGGAAUUGAUGGCUUACUGUGGGAACAGCUGAGUCCUCUCUCAAGCCAUAGUCCCGGUGCACAUGAGAACAGAAACACUGAGGGAAGGCAAGUGAAGCCACAGCGAGAUGGCAGUCACCUACAAGCCAGGAAGAGCACUCUCAUCAAAACCCAACCCUGCUGAUGUCCUGAUCUCAGACCUCCAGCUUCCAGAACUGGGAGAAAACCGAUUUCUGGUGUUUAAGACACAAAGUCUAAGAAAAAGUUUGUUUGAGCUCCAUGAUCUUUUUUGCCUUCCCCUGAUGAAAUAAUGAAACCCUUGAGAACUAUCUGGAAAGACUGUGGAGAUGUGUACCUUCUAAAUUAUGCCAAAGCUCCCCUGCUUUGUAUCAUACAUGCUACAUACCUGGAAGUAAACCUGCUAAUUUCUCUUUUGCAUUCUCUCCAGCCACCAGGGUUUUCGAUACCUGGUCUUUAUUGUGAAUAAUAGAUAUAGUUUAUAGAUAGACAUGAUGGAUUUCCAAAUUCAAAAGACAGAAGUUGUCAUGAGACUAAUGAUCCAAGUAAAAGUAUAUACAAACAAAGAAUCAUGGAACACUGUAUCAAAAACUAAUG